RNAcentral lists this ribosomal RNA (587 nucleotides) under uncultured bacterium. RNAcentral describes it as "partial 16S ribosomal RNA". It matches the Rfam family "Bacterial small subunit ribosomal RNA", at positions 355 to 925 of the family's 1533-position model. The record is from RNAcentral.
UGGGGAAUAUUGCACAAUGGGCGCAAGCCUGAUGCAGCUAUGCCGCGUGUGUGAAGAAGGCCUUCGGGUUGUAAAGCACUUUCAGCGAGGAGGAAGGUGGUGAACUUAAUACGUUCAUCAAUUGACGUUACUCGCAGAAGAAGCACCGGCUAACUCCGUGCCAGCAGCCGCGGUAAUACGGAGGGUGCAAGCGUUAAUCGGAAUUACUGGGCGUAAAGCGCACGCAGGCGGUUUGUUAAGUCAGAUGUGAAAUCCCCGGGCUCAACCUGGGAACUGCAUUUGAAACUGGCAAGCUAGAGUCUCGUAGAGGGGGGUAGAAUUCCAGGUGUAGCGGUGAAAUGCGUAGAGAUCUGGAGGAAUACCGGUGGCGAAGGCGGCCCCCUGGACGAAGACUGACGCUCAGGUGCCGAAAAGCGUGGGGAGCAAAACAGGGAUUUAGAUACCCCGUGGUAAGUCCACGCUGUAAAACGAUGUCGAUUUGGAGGUUGUGCCCUUGAGGCGUGGCUUCCGGAGCUAACGCGUUAAAUCGACCGCCUGGGGAGUACGGCCGCAAGGUUAAAACUCAAAUGAAUUGACGGGGUCAUAGC